Long non-coding RNA from Gallus gallus (chicken), 9418 nucleotides. RefSeq lists it as uncharacterized. The transcript is spliced from 4 exons. Lineage: Eukaryota; Metazoa; Chordata; Aves; Galliformes; Phasianidae. The record is from RefSeq and is a predicted model, not a curated record.
GACCUGUACCAACUCUGUUCCUCCAGUUACCACACUUCUGCGUUUCUACCUUAAAUCACACAGGAAGAGGUUAACCCAGAGGCAUGGAUUUACAAGAGGAAUGAUCAUCUGUGCAAGACGAGGCUGGCACUACCACGCUCCUUUUCAGUGAGAAACCUCACGAUUCCUAGAGGAACGAGUGCCACAAUAACCUGUCAGCCCUGCAGGCCCAAGUCUCUCUGCUCACGAGGAAACUGGCAGCAGCAGCCCUCCCUGCAAAGACAAGUAAAGAAGAAAAAUCCAUGGUAUGAACAGCAGCUACAUCAAAGCAAGAAACCUACAAUGUGACACAGGCAAAGAAAGCAGGAUGGGGACGAGACCAGUGAACCAAACACCGGUGUAAUUUAAGCUUCGGGACAGCACACUCUUACCCUAGCUCUUAUCCAGCAUGAUUCCUAAGACAUCUGGAGAAGUCUUAACUACCGUUAUACAGUAUUUUCAUGUCUAUCCUACUCCUGCCUCUAAGCCAAUGCAGAAAAUUUGCAAUAAUUAAUAAUCCUGCAAACACCCAAAAAGCAGAAGAAGGCUUCAGGCACUUCAGUGAAUGUACCAGAAACAAAGGAUUCCCUUUAGAAUCCAUUUCCAAAUAAACUGCCAGACAGACUUCUGCUUUUUCUGCCAUAUCAUACAAAACGCUGAUGAAAAAUUACAUCUCUACCUAUGUGGCCCUUCCCAGCAUUCCCAGGACGGACCAUGCAAGAGGCAUUAUUCACACCAUCUACUAGGCCAAUAACAUACCUUAUUCCUGUGCCUAUUGCAAUAGGAGUGCGGGAAAGUUUUGAGAGUGUUUCAAUCACCUGGAAAAAAGAAAUUAACCAUGAUUAGUUGUAGAAUAGAAACAUAAGAACUAUCUUCUAAUCACAGCAUAUGAUACAAGACAACACAAUCUGGCUGUGCCAUAUACUGUGCGAUGUGUACUUGCACAGAUGGUCCAUGACAUGAUCUUCACUGCAUGAGUACUGAGAGAAACAAAGGGAAAUUUCUUAUAAGUUACAGCACUAGUAAAAGAAAUUAAGUAGAUAUAGAACCAGAUCAUGCAGUACUUUUAACUUAAAUGUUUACAUAAGCUUUAUCAGCCUUGCCCACUGCUCUGGAAAUUGUUUUCUGUGUUUUUGUUUUUUGGGUUUUGUUGUUGUUGUUGUUUGAUUGUUUUUUAGCUACAAAAACAUUUCAUUUGAGCGCUACCAAAGGCUGACCAGAAGAGGGAGCCAAACGACAAGUGAAAGAGCCCUUUCAGGACUCGCUUGGAAAGAUUUCUAUUUGCUAAACAGGAAAUUAAGCUAUACAUUUGAGUCCAUAAGCUCUGUUUAUUUUUAGAAGACUGAAGCAGCAUGGGAGAUCUCAUUUUAAGAAAAUACUUCACACUAGUUCUCAAGGUUAUACAGAAGAGAGGAGAACAUUAGGGAGGGUAAAGGGGGGAUGUCUGGUCAUAAACAGAGUCAUUUUGCUGUCAGCUGUAAUAAGAGAACAGCUCACACUCAACGUAGAAUGUCCUUUAUGUUACAGUUCCUCUUAUUUUGAGCGCUAUCAGAUUGACAAGUCUCAUUUGCUAGUGAGAAAAAAGAUGCCAAAAUGACACCCAGUAGGACAAUGCCCCCUGAACAUCCCGGGUAUUUCAGGUUGGCUCAUUUCAGCUUAAAACACAGAUUAAAUUCAAGUCAAACCUCCCAAGAAGAUUUAGAGAGGCAGUAUUAAAAUUCAGGUAUAGCAACGGAUGCUCCAUGGACAUUUGUGAAUAACAUUUACAAUUAAAAUUAUUUCUUGUCGAAGUUCUAAUUACAAGACUAGCCGGAUCAUGAAGUGCAUAGAGUUAAAAGUACAUCUCUCAGAGGAAGGAAAAUGACAUGUUCACACAAGAAAGUGACAAAGUAAAAACCGCACAGAAUAACCACCAAGUACAGAGCCUAAAUUGAAGUAAAUAACGGCCAAAGUGAAUCAAGUUUCUUUAGUAAACAGCAAAACUCCAAAAUGAACUGAAAGUUACACCACUCCAAUGGAAGAAACAUUUGGCGCUCAUUUAAGGUGUUUGGAAAACACAGCAAAAUCUGAUUUUGCUGUACAGAAAUGAUCCCUCCCCCUCCCCAAAAAAAAUACACGGUGUACAUAAUCAAAGAUGACAGCACCUUAAAACCCCAACAACAGGAGCACUGCAAUACAUACAGCCUAGAAGAAAAUGCUGAAAGCUGCAAAUAAAGUGAUUAAAAAUGUUAAUUAAAGAUUAUUUUAUGUUAUUUAAAACAUCAAAAAGGAAAAAGAAAAAUACUCUUAGAAUUUCUUAUAUGAAACCAGGUAGGUUGUGGUUUAUGUCACAGAAGAGCCACUGGUCUCUGCAAACCUGAAAACUUCAGUGCAGAACUGGGCAAAGACCACUGAACUCUAUGAGACAAGGCUCUACAGGAAGUUAGUCAAAAAUUCAAUAUCAAGCAAAGUGAUCUGUCCUGACAGAUGGGUGAAUAUCGACUGGCAAAAUAACAGGAAAAGAGGUUUAAUGGUUAUUGAAAAAGUGGAGGGCAAGCCUGGUGAACUAAAUAUCCUUCUCCUGUUUCAACGUGUUAUUUCCUGGCACACAAAAUAUCAUCUUCAAAUGGUUUCACCAGCCCACGCAGAUCCUUCUCCUAAAGGGAUUCUCACUUAACUGGAAUAAUCAAACCCAACACCUUACCCUUUGUACCUAGCUAUGGCUUGAUUCAAGAUAACAUGAAACCAUCUGGAAAAAAAGAAUGAAUUUUAGGAAGAUAAUGAACAAAUACUAUUCCCAAAAUGUACUGUCAAUGUGUAUUUUGCAGUUAACAAUAUGCACACAAACAAAAGCAAGAUUAGGAAAUUAAGAGAAUCUAAACUUCUUCAGAAACCAACGUGAAAUCUGCUUUUAAAAAAAAAAAAACCACAAAGGUGAAGAAACCAGAGAAAUGCCUGAGAAAAUACACAUAGAAAAGAAACCAUGGCUAGAAAAAAAAGGUGACAAGUAGUAUAUUUCACUGCUCUGGAAAAAAACAGAAGGUUUGUCACUGUAUGAAGAAGAAACAUGCUAGCAAGCUAACAGGGAGAAUUCUAACAAAAUCUGAGCAGCGGUUAAGAAGAAAACUGCAAUCAUCACAGCAGCUGUCCGUGUCUCAGUAGAGAUACACCGUUCCCCAGGAGGGGUUGAUGAAGUGUGCCUACACAAGCCUUAUGGAAGGAGAAAGCCCUGGGCAGUGACUGCUAUUAGUCCAUAUGAAAACAAAAUAGGUACAAAUCAAAGAUCACUAAUGACCCAAUGUUUUUAAGAUUCAAAUACCUAACUGAAAACAGCUGCAACUUCUACAGAAUACAAUUUGAUCCUUGCUUACUGACCACUCCUAUUAUAGCACAACUUAAAACAGCACUCUGACUAGAAAUAUAAUGGUUUCUAUCCAAUGGUAUUUUUGUUAUCCUUUUCUGAGGAGUUUUGUUGGGUUAUUUCUCCUCUCCAAAGAAUUUAGAGAAUAUGUCAGGAUACAUGCCACAGCUUACACAAACAAAUAUACGAACCUGUCAGUUCUGGUCAACACAUUAGGCCUAAUUCAACACUACACAUAUUUACUUGCUUCAACAUUAAGUGGGGGAAAGAAGGUUUCUGCAUUUCUCCUACAUGAAAUCUCAGUUCUUUGUUGUUAAUGCACUGCAGAAUUUUUUCAGAGUUCCCUUAUUUCCGGGUUCUGUAGGGAAGGUCUCAGUUAUGGACAGGCUGAGGUGUCAGAAAAGCUAUCAGAAUUAGACCAAAUUAACAAAUUCCACUAAAAUUACUAGACUAUCCACAGUAAAACAUCUGACUUCCAAACUGAGAGAGGAAUUUGCUAAGCAGCUCUACUUUGAAGCGCAGUGCAGCUGUUGUGGGGAAACUAUAAUACAGUGCAAUUCUGAAAUCCAAAAUUACACACUCAUAUGAAUGUUCAGAAGAUUCAACUGAAUGCUUCUCAUGUUGAUUUUUUUAUUGUUUUUUUUGUUUCGGUUUUUUCCUUUUUUUUUUCCCCCCCCCCACUCAGAGGGACUUAAACCUGUUUUACCCAAGAACCCUAGAUGAAUUUUCAGUUCUCUCUCGCAGCAAGCCCUCAAACCCUCCAUUCAGACAGAUGCUCCUGCCUAGGCUAACGUGGAUCCCAGCUUCAUGUGCAAAAUUAGCACUUCUUGCUUGUACAAAGCCCAGAACAACAAAGCUUCCAUGGCUGGGACUAUUCUACAACAAGUAACCCUACAAAGAGCCCCAGGAACUCUACACCCUCUGCACUCCCAGUAUUACCCGGAAUAGACACCAAGAAUUAGAUAAAAACCAGGAACUGGUAGGUGUUUGCAAGAGUCUUCCAGUCACAAGAGGAACCCCUCCCGGCUCAACGUUGCUGCCUCCCACUGACUAACUCUAUCACACAAAGGUUAAGCAGUUCUUUAGAAGUCACAUCAAAGCCACACUCCAAGAAGAUGCGAAUAUCCAAACCUGGUUCUCAGUACGCAGCCAGUUUAUGCAAAACAUGGCACGAAAUUCAAAAUUUGAGCCAUGCAAGGGGAAGUGUACCUUGGCCCAUGGCCCAGUGAAGGACACUACUCCUCAGCCUUGUUUCAGGCACAGCUAGCAAGAGCUACAGCCUCUCUCAGCCCAUUAAUUUCUUAUUUCAGUAAUUACUCCAACAGCAGAUUUUUUUUGGCUUGGUAUUUAUUAUUGUUUCACUUGACUUAGUGUUGUAGGUCAUACUCUCCAGUAUAUGUCAGGACUCUCAAAUCCCUUGCCAAAAUGUUAUUUUUUAAUUUCCUGCUGCCAUACUCUCCUGCAGCCAAUCACCUCAAGUACUCCUGCACACACCUACCACAGCAGUACACUAGAGGGACUAUUUUACUUCUUUCCAUAGCCAUCAUGUCUGAAUUUAGAAUCAGCCUCACUAAGUAUUUUGGUGGAGUCACUUCUUGAUCUUGUUUCUUAAGAAGCAACUUACAAAUCCUACAAUUCAAAAGCAGACAAGACACAUUUUAGAAGUACUUUUCCUCUUCUAUAGUAGAUAAAAACAUAUAAUUUUGUGGCUCACUGUUUCCCCUAACAGACUUGUCCUUGCUGCUGACAUCUGCUUUUAGGACUAGGCCGAUACUUACAUUGAUGAUGUUUAGCUAAACUGAAAAUACUAAGUCAUCUGCAAGUGUUGAUGGCAAUCGUUUCAGAAUUCAUAACAGUAAAAACUUAGAAUACACAUAGGCUAAAAAAAAAAGCAGUUCAGGUUCCAUGCAUGCACUUGAACAAGUAUGUGUUUUUCUAACACAGCAGAAGUCACCAAGAGUUCUCAACUAUAUUCUAUUUCAAGACUUGUCUUCAAAAUCUGGGCAUUCAGUUUAGUAUUUGAGCACUACAUUUUGUUGCAAAGGUAACCCUCUUCUCUCCAUUGAAGAAAAUUUAUUUAGCCAAUAGAUACAGACAGAAAUAAAGCAGUUACAUUUACCAAAGAAAAAAUAUUUCCCCCAGCCUACUUUUUGACAUGUUGUUUUGAAACAUGCAUUUGGUUUUUCCCCCAAACAGGAUUUUACUACAUCAAAUUUUGGGGAUGGGGAAAAAAAAAAAAAACUUUAGUUAUACAGGAAAACUAAUCUUUCAUAGAGUUGAUCAUCUCUUUGGCUCUGAUAAGUCUCCAUUCCAUUUUCUUUAAGAAAACUUCUGUGAUUGGUAGCUACAUGUCUAACAUGCUCUCUAUCUAGUGAUUCCCUAUUAACUACUUCACAAGUUGUAACUACUCUCAGGCUCAGGUCUAUGCACUUAAGACAGUCUCAUAGCUGCCUAAGACUGCCUAAAUUUAGGUAACACCAACCCAAAAGAAACUACAUAACUGCUAUUUGCUUCCUCAGAAGAAAGUCCACCUGUAGUUUGUUAUUCAGAAAGAAUGUUUUUCUGUCUAUGCUUGACUAGGUCUGAACAUGCCUCACUUUUGUAUGCAAUAUCAACAUACUGACCCUUUGUCACUUCAAGAAUCACUUCCUUCAAAGUCUCUCUAAAAUACGUUCAAAUUUCCAUCGACGAUGAAGGCACUUGUUCAAUGAGGUUAUAAAAAAAAAUGCCACAUUCUAUCCUGCAAGUCUAUAUCAACUUCCAACUGUUUUCCCCAUCAAAACAUGUCAGCAAUACAAAACGGAUUAGGAACUGAGACCUAAAGAAUACUAUUAAAAGUUAGAGAUUCUUGACGUAUGUGCCCUUUAAUAUUAACACAUUUCCCACAGCUCACGGGCAGAGUCUGAAAAACUAAAAGCUAGAUCAAGUUCCAAGUUUAUCUUCCUAGGAGAUGGCAGACAAACUCUGAAUUACUUGGGUAAUACCUAUACAGGCUGAUGUAUCAUAUUGAGUGUAUCAUAGUGAGGAUGCUUCCAAGCCAGUACUACCACUCAUGUCCUCACACAAAGCGGUUUUCCCGCAAAGCUGUUUUCACUUAUGCAUCCCAUGGUAUAGAAGAUAAAAAAGCAAGAUAACUUCAUUUUGUAUAUCUAUCAUUCAGACCUAAGAUCAAAUUGGUACACUUAAGUACGUACUCAAUAACUAACGUUAAUAAAGAAUGUUUAUCAUUUACUACUCUGAAGAAAGCAUCUGCAGUCUACCAGGCCCUGGAUAAUUAUGGAUCAAUACUUCGUUUGGCACAAAGAGGGGGGAGUGCAUCUCUUAGUAUUUUACUGUAAUCCAUCAUUUUUCAAGGCCAGGUUUGAUGGGGCCCUCGGCAACCUGAUCUAGUGCCUGACUAAGUGGUCGACAACUCUGCCAUUGGCACUCAAGUCAGAAAUAGAUGGUAUUUAAGGUCCCUUGCAAUUCAAGCCAUUCUAUGAAUCUAUGAUUAGCUUCCAGACCAAAACACCUCCAAGAACUGUUACAUUAACAUUUAUAUUUAAAUUAGUUGAUAAAGGUUUAAAAAAAAAGAUGACACUUGGCCAGACAAUUCCACGGUGAGUCCGUGGCAUAAUAUGCUUCUUAGAUGUGUUAGGUGUAUUACAUGCAUCAGUAAGUCAAUUUGAAGAUUUUCUGUCCAUUUGACUUGUUCCAGCAUUGUGUUGGUACUCCGUGCUAGUUCCGCUUAGUUUUAAUCAAAGCACAAGCCUCUAGGGAAGGGGGAAAAAUGAGGGAUAUUCCAAAGAGGCAGAAAAAAAAAAUGAAAGCUCCAAUAUGUAUGGCCUAAAAGUAAACCUAGAUUCAUACCCCUAAGAGGCCAUUAAAAACAAUAAGGUAGUUUUAACUCCCAGCUUUGCAAAUAUGCCUCUACUAAAUACUUCCAUGGCAUACACUGAGAUGCCUAAGUCAUACAGACAUGAACAUGUGAAAGAAAAUUUACAGCCUUACCACUCUCACCAGCACUUCAUUAGGAACACCAUGGUCUCCAGACCUUGAGCAUAUAGAAGUGUAGAAAUGUCUGUUUUUGAUUAAACAGAACUUCACAUAGCACUAAUUGUCAUCUCAUUAAAAUUAUGAAAUACAAGCUUUAGGAGUACAGCAGAAAAGUAUGUUCAAGUCAUUAAUUUCUAUUGGGAUGAUCACCAGCUAUAGGAUGCUGUUUCCUCCCUGAUAUCAUCUCCAGCUAUCCCAGUUUCAGUGUCUCUCACUGCCUGUGUCAAAUGUUCAUUUCUCCUUAACUACAUCCUCCAGAUAUAUAUCAGAGGAAUAUAUUAUUCUUCUCUCCCAUCUCAUCUUAGCACUGGCAUUUCAGUAGUAAAUAGCCAAACUAUCCCACUGAAUCACAGUAGAGAAAUUCACAACUCCAAGCCAAGUUCUCUGUGACUGACAGGAGCCCACCAGCAACUCUGAAAAACAGUUUGAAACCAGCUGCCAAAUGCUUAUGUAGAGAGGGAGCAAAGGUAAAGCAACUGCUGUAAAAGCUGUUCUUGGCAGUCAUUCAUGUUUCCUCUGAAAACAACCUCAGCUCCCAUCUGCAAGAAGAGACCUCCAUCAUGCUGCUGUGCUGGUUGGGGGAACAUCUGGUGGAUUAGACAUGGAUAUCAGGGCAUGCACGUUUUUUCCUUCCCUCCCAGGCAGGGGAUAGGUACCAUGUGGGCAUUGCCUUGGGGAAGGCUCAUCCUUCAUCAAUUUUCUUCAAGUGCGUCUCCAGUGUCUACACGCAUAAGCAAGUAACAGGAAAUUCUCUCUCUUGACAUAAAAAAAGAAAUAGCCAAGACAAAAAAAACCCUCCCGGGUGUUGCCUCCUCCUCUUUGUAGAUAAGCAAAGUACAGGGUUGCAAACUAGUGAGACUUCAAAAGUGCUGGAGAAUCAACAGCUAUAAAAGAUGCAAUGUUUUCUCUAAUGCAUUGUGAAAAGGAGAGGUGAGGCAGGUGGCUUGGCAUGAGGAAGGCAAACAGAGACAAAGAGGUCAUUUCAAGAAAACACUCUGAAUGUUAAAAGGACAGUAAAUAUAACACCCAUAAGGACAGGGCAGGGCUUAGCAUAUUUACAUACGUUUACAUCUUGUUGCACCGCUAGACAGAGGCAUUUAAUUCCCUGCUACAGUAUCAGAAGAGCACUAAGUUACACUAAGCCAUAUCUGAUGCCAUAUUCUUAAAUUACAGAUGUGAGGUACCUCCAGUGCUUUCCUCUAGGACUGGUGUUUAAAAUAGAAGUAUACAUGUAGCUUCCAGCAAUAUCAAAGGGCAGGCUGGAACCCACACUAACCAAGCCCAUAUCCCAUCCCGUUAGCUCACUGAACAUAUUGAACGUUUCAACCCUUUUGCAGGGAGCAAUAGCUCAGAUCACUCCAGCUCCUGAGUGGGAGCAGUGGGCCUGGGGCUGCACACACAGCUCCUGAACAUGGCUAACGCUAAAACAAAAAGAGAAACAAAACUGAAUGCUCUCCAGGAAUUCUUAACAGACAAUCUCAUUAUUAGGAAUAUAAUGAGCAAGUCUUUAAUAACCAGAAACCAAUUAUGCACACGAAUUUAUAGCUAUUAUACAAAAAUUGCUCUUAAAAUCUCAUUUUUCAAUUUCAGCCCAAGACAAGGCUACAGAUCCUGGCCCAAAACAUGGAAGUUUCCCUAAACAAUUCUGCUCUUACAAGGAAGUGAGAAAAACCAAACUGCACAAGCAGCAUAUUCCAGCUAAUGUUAGGUUUGCUUUGUCCAGAAGACCAAGAUACUAACCAAAGAAAGCAAUGGGGGAAGGGAGCUUCAGCAGCUGCUUCCUGCCUGCAGCUUGUGGUUUUGGUUCUAUGAAUACCUUCGAGCCUCACUAUGCCUGAAGGGCUUCGGGUUGCCUUUUUUUUUGUUAAGGUGAUGUUGCUUCAAGAAUGACAGCCUCACUUCAAGCACUACUUCAACAUGAACUGAGCACUUAAAUGCUGCAGCUGGUAAAUCGCAUGUGCAGACUGCCUUCAAGCACACUGCCAGUGUACCAACUGCAGAAUAAAAUUUUGUUCUCUUCUCUGA